RNAcentral lists this ribosomal RNA (456 nucleotides) under Picocystis salinarum. Its description in RNAcentral is "partial Eukaryotic large subunit ribosomal RNA". It matches the Rfam family "Eukaryotic large subunit ribosomal RNA", at positions 1 to 451 of the family's 3401-position model. Lineage: Eukaryota; Viridiplantae; Chlorophyta; Picocystophyceae; Picocystales; Picocystaceae. The record is from RNAcentral.
GACCUCGGAUCAGGUAGGGAUACCCGCUGAACUUAAGCAUAUCAAUAAGCGGAGGAAAAGAAACUAACAAGGAUUGCCCUAGUAACGGCGAGUGAAGCGGGAAGAGCUCAAAUUUGAAAUCUGGUAGCCUUCGGUUGCCCGAGUUGUAAUCUAGAGAAAUGUUUUCCGUGCCGGCCCAUGUACAAGUCCCUUGGAACAGGGCGUCAUAGAGGGUGAGAAUCCCGUCCUUGACAUGGACCCCCGGUGCUUUGUGAUACAUUUUCAACGAGUCGAGUUGUUUGGGAAUGCAGCUCUAAAUGGGUGGUAUAUUUCAUCUAAAGCUAAAUAUUGGCCAGAGACCGAUAGCGCACAAGUAGAGUGAUCGAAAGAUGAAAAGCACUUUGGAAAGAGAGUUAAACAGUACGUGAAAUUGUUGAAAGGGAAACGAUUGAAGUCAGUCAUGCUCUUUGGUAUUUA